RNAcentral lists this unclassified non-coding RNA (522 nucleotides) under Hevea brasiliensis (rubber tree). Lineage: Eukaryota; Viridiplantae; Streptophyta; Magnoliopsida; Malpighiales; Euphorbiaceae. The record is from RNAcentral.
UGAAAUUAGCAUUUCACCAAUAUUUGUUUUAUAACAGUUGCCGAAACACAAUGCCAAGCAUGGCUCACCUAAUCAAUCCCACCAACAUGCUCCACCUCUUCUGGACAGGAACCAAGCUCAAGACUAGCCAAUUCAAGACCUCCAAAAAUCCCUACUACUCUGUUUGUUUCUCCAAAACACACCAAGUUUAAGGAAAUAAAAAAAAAAUACAGUUUUUCACUUUGCAAAAUCCACCUCGCGUCCUUGUGAAUUGGAUUCGACCUUCGUUGGAUUGGUUGGGGGCAGCAAAUAGUAGAGUAGAGGCUAGAUUUGUUGGGUUCACUGCAUAUGUUAGGCGGUGAUGCAACAGAUGAUAAGAAGGGAAGCGAGGAAUUAUAUGAUGGGGAAGAAUAGGGCGCCGCUAGUAAUGGUGGAGGUGUUGGUCUGUGUUUUGAGGCUGUUGGGGGAGAAGGGAUUAGAAAUGUAGUGAUGAAUUAAGUAGAAUGAGUAGAAUUGAUUCUGAAAUUGAACAGAGGAGAGAGU